Molecule: non-coding RNA, 24 nt
Filed under: Arabidopsis thaliana (thale cress)
Lineage: Eukaryota; Viridiplantae; Streptophyta; Magnoliopsida; Brassicales; Brassicaceae
Source: RNAcentral
CUUCUCGACAUGUCCACCGAAGAU